Long non-coding RNA from Leptopilina boulardi, 659 nucleotides. RefSeq lists it as uncharacterized. NCBI's taxonomy places the organism in Eukaryota, Metazoa, Arthropoda, Insecta, Hymenoptera, Figitidae. The record is from RefSeq and is a predicted model, not a curated record. The transcript is spliced from 2 exons.
GUCACAUUAGUGAACCAACCUCUCAGCGAGAAUAAUGUUUUGAUGACUUCUAUGUGUGUAUGUUUAUAUUUCACGUUAUCAAUCAUAUAAAUAAUCAAUGAAAAUUAUUUAUUUUAAAAGGAAAAUAAUUUCAAAAAUUUGCAAUGUCUAAAAAUUUUUUUUCUCGCAUUUAUAAACAUCAGUAUCCUUUAAUUUUUGGUUCUUUUCUUGUGAUUGGAACUAUGAUUUCUUUCAAAAGAAGAGAAAUUUUAUCAACAAUUGAAGUAAAUACCAAAAAAUUUGAGACUGAUCCAGAAAAUGUGAGCAUUUGGGAAAAUUUUCAAGAAAAAAUGAAAAACAAACCAACAUCCAGUACUUAAACUUUUGAAUCUAAUAUACAUAAUUUUGUACAUUCUGUAGGAUAUGAAAAUUUGUUUUUGUUAUUAAAUUUUUUCAUACUUAAUGAAAUGUUUUUUUUUUUUUACUACAAUUGUAAAUUAAAUACAAAAAAUAAUAUGACAUUGAGAAAAGGAUGUGGAACCUAAUUAACAACGUUACGUCGUUUUCUUGUCGUAUUGUCCCAUUAAUUUUAUUUUGAAACCGGAUAUUUAUUUAAUUCCAUGAAAAAUCUAAACUUUUACGUUGAAUUUGGAUAAAGUAAAUAUAUUUCUCUUAGUUUA